This 992-nucleotide ribosomal RNA is filed under the name uncultured bacterium. Its description in RNAcentral is "bacterial SSU rRNA". It matches the Rfam family "Bacterial small subunit ribosomal RNA", at positions 504 to 1506 of the family's 1533-position model. The record is from RNAcentral.
UGUCACAGCCGCCGCGGUAAUACGGAGGAUGCAAGCGUUAUCCGGAAUUAUUGGGUUUAAAGGGUGCGUAGGCGGACUGAUAAGUCAGUGGUGAAAUUUCCGGGCUUAACCUGGGACCUGCCAUUGAUACUGUUGGUCUUGAGUGUAGUUGAUGUUGGCGGAAUGUGUCAUGUAGCGGUGAAAUGCAUAGAUAUGACACAGAACACCGAUAGCGAAGGCAGCUGACAAAACUAUAACUGACGCUGAGGCACGAAAGCGUGGGGAUCAAACAGGAUUAGAUACCCUGGUAGUCCACGCCGUAAACGAUGAUCACUAGCUGUAUGCGAUACACAGUAUGUGGCUAAGGGAAACCGAUAAGUGAUCCACCUGGGGAGUACGUCCGCAAGGAUGAAACUCAAAGGAAUUGACGGGGGCCCGCACAAGCGGAGGAGCAUGUGGUUUAAUUCGAUGAUACGCGAGGAACCUUACCUGGGCUUGAACGUAUGGUGCAUGGGUGUGAAAGCAUCCUUUCUAGCAAUAGACUUCAUACGAGGUGCUGCAUGGUUGUCGUCAGCUCGUGCCGUGAGGUGUUAGGUUAAGUCCUGCAACGAGCGCAACCCCUGUUUUUAGUUGCCAUCAGGUUAAGCUGGGCACUCUAGAGAGACUGCCUGCGCAAGCAGAGAGGAAGGUGGGGAUGACGUCAAAUCAGCACGGCCCUUACGUCCAGGGCUACACACGUGCUACAAUGGCCGGUACAGAGGGCAGCUACAUGGUGACAUGAUGCGAAUCUCCAAAGCCGGUCUUAGUUCGGAUCGGAGUCUGCAACUCGACUUCGUGAAGCUGGAUUCGCUAGUAAUUGUAUAUCAGCCAUGAUACGGUGAAUACGUUCCCGGGCCUUGUACACACCGCCCGUCAAGCCAUGGGAGUUAGGGGUACCUGAAGUCGAUAACCGCAAGGAGUCGCCUAGGGUAAACCUGAUGACUGGGGCUAAGUCGUAACAAGGUAACCAAUCG